GUAGGUGGCAAGCGUUGUCCGGAAUUAUUGGGCGUAAAGCGCGCGCAGGCGGUUCUUUAAGUCUGAUGUGAAAGCCCACGGCUCAACCGUGGAGGGUCAUUGGAAACUGGAGAACUUGAGUACAGAAGAGGAAAGCGGAAUUCCACGUGUAGCGGUGAAAUGCGUAGAGAUGUGGAGGAACACCAGUGGCGAAGGCGGCUUUCUGGUCUGUAACUGACGCUGAGGCGCGAAAGCGUGGGGAGCAAACAGGGAUUAGAUACCCUGGUAGUCCACGCCGUAAACGAUGAGUGCUAAGUGUUAGGGGGGUUUCCGCCCCCCUUAGUGCUGCUGCUAACGCAUUAAGCACUCCGCCUGGGGAGUACGGCCGCAAGGCUG
RNAcentral lists this ribosomal RNA (375 nucleotides) under uncultured organism. Its description in RNAcentral is "partial 16S ribosomal RNA". It matches the Rfam family "Bacterial small subunit ribosomal RNA", at positions 527 to 896 of the family's 1533-position model. The record is from RNAcentral.